AUCUUUUUAUUACUGUGCCCACUUGUGACAAAGCUUUCUGGAAGACAGAGUGUCCUUAAAAAGGGGGAAGAUAAACCUUGAUCUGUGUCUUUAAUGUAUUAUAUAUGUCUUUUAAAUAUGAGUCCAACUGCUACAAGUUUUGCUACUUGAAAGAAUUAACAUGUGAAAGAUGCGACUUGUCCCUCUCUUUCCUGACAUUGCCUAUUCAGCGCAGAGGAGACAGUGUUAUUUAAUGGCUGUGUCUGUGCCAACCGUCUCUCUCUCUCUCUCUCUCCCUCUUGCUCCCUCCCUCCCUCUCUCCCUCCCUCCCUCCCUCCCUCGUUUCGGUCUCUCCCACUUGGCAGCCAGGCCAAAGUGGGCAGGGAGAUUGCAGAAAGAAAACAGUUUACAGAGAAAACGGAGGCCGCAAAGCUGCCUGGGCCUGGAGCCACAUCCCCUGUUUGAGUGUGACUGACUGUGAGCGCACCCCUCUGCCUUUUCUCUCCCUUUGCAGAGAAGCACGGGGCAAACCAACGUGUUCUCCAGUCCGCGCCCAAGUUUCGCCAUGACCCUUUCGGCUUCAGUCUCCUGAGAUCCUCACCCUCUCACCUUAUACCCAUCACACCUCCAGGAAAUGGAGUUUGCUUACCAGGACAUAACCUCUUUUUUGAUGCUGUCCUUGGGGCUGAGGUAGUAGAUUGAAUAGUUGUGGGGAAUCAUUCCUUCUUGUGUGAUAACUAUACAAUCUACUGUCUUUCCUAAGGAGACAGCCGAAUCACCUAUAAGAAAAAGACUAAAGGUGGAACUCCACAAAUAAAAAGCCAAGGACAAGAUGGAAUGGCAUUCAAAAGGGCAUUUUGAUACUCAGAAUUGUUCGAUGGCCUUAUUACUGCAGUAUGAAUGCUCAUAUCUAGAAAAGAGUUGAACUAUAUUAUUUUA
This is a long non-coding RNA of Erpetoichthys calabaricus (reedfish), 918 nucleotides long. RefSeq lists it as uncharacterized. The record is from RefSeq and is a predicted model, not a curated record. NCBI's taxonomy places the organism in Eukaryota, Metazoa, Chordata, Cladistia, Polypteriformes, Polypteridae. The transcript is spliced from 2 exons.